Molecule: long non-coding RNA, 572 nt
Organism: Epinephelus fuscoguttatus (brown-marbled grouper)
Lineage: Eukaryota; Metazoa; Chordata; Actinopteri; Perciformes; Serranidae
Exons: 3
Source: RefSeq, a predicted model, not a curated record
UUGAAAAAGUGAACUCUGACCAAUGGGACCAGACUGGUCGACCCAUACACUCUCACUCAGUGGAUGGAUGAUUUAACAGGAUUGCUGAAGGUUCACAAACAUCAAUGUGGGAUAUCCAGGGAGUGUUCACGACUGCAGGGUGUUGUUGCGGAACUCUGACCUUACAGAAGAGGCGAGAGGGGAACUCUCUUCCCACAAGACACUGAAGUCAUUUGUGGCACAGCAGUGCCCAUCAUGCUUCUCAGUGAUCCAGCCCAUUCUCUGUGUAUAGCUGGAUCAUCAAGGUAUACCCAGAGAAUGGGCUGUCAGAGGACCAACGCCGCUUCAGCUACUGUCUUAGUAGAGCCAGAAUGACGAUCAAGUGUUCAUUCGGAAGACUUAAGAGCAGAUGGCGAUGCUUGAGCAAGCAGUUGGGUGUGGACAUCAUGAAUGUGCCUUAUGUCAUCACAGGUACCUACUGAUAUAACUUACUUUGUACACUGUAAGAAAUGUCUGUAAAAUUAACAUUAAGAUGCCGUAAAAUCAUGACAUCAAAAAUCUGUAACAAGAAAAACAAUGAAUCAGUGUAUAUU